UAAGUAGGUCCCGAGCGUUGUCCGGAUUUAUUGGGCGUAAAGCGAGCGCAGGUGGUUUAUUAAGUCUGGUGUAAAAGGCAGUGGCUCAACCAUUGUAUGCAUUGGAAACUGGUAGACUUGAGUGCAGGAGAGGAGAGUGGAAUUCCAUGUGUAGCGGUGAAAUGCGUAGAUAUAUGGAGGAACACCGGUGGCGAAAGCGGCUCUCUGGCCUGUAAUUGACACUGAGGCUCGAAAGCGUGGGGAGCAAACAGG
This 252-nucleotide ribosomal RNA is filed under the name uncultured bacterium. RNAcentral's name for it is "partial 16S ribosomal RNA". It matches the Rfam family "Bacterial small subunit ribosomal RNA", at positions 524 to 776 of the family's 1533-position model. The record is from RNAcentral.